AUCUCUGCAUCAAUUUCUGUGAGGGAGCCACAGACGGGGGGGGAUAGAAAACAGCGGACAACUCAUUUCUCUGUAACACCCCUGGAAGCCGGCGUAAAGUCAGCAGUGGGACUCAGUGGGAUUUUUCAAUAUCUGCUCAAGCCGGUGUGUGUGUGUGUGUGUGUGUGAGCGAGUGUGUGUGUGUGUGUGAGCUGAUAAUAGCAGCUCCAUUGGUAUUCAGCGGAGGGAGCUCCAGGAUCUCGCUGCGCCUUUCCCCAGGAUGGGAUCACAGAGCGGGGAUUGUGCUUGCCUGUGGAGAGCUCGCUGAAAUGGAUGUGAGGCUUUGCAGAGAUGGACACCAAAUGGCAGGCAUGGAAGCCAACAUCAACCCUCCAGCGACUAGCUUUCCACACCUAACUGCUCUCACCAUCUCCAGCCAUCAGCCCGAGCCGUCCCAGCCGGGACUCAGCCUGCAGAGUUGAGGCUGCCGGACGAGGCGGACUGCCACACCAGGAGCCGUCUCCUGGUCGCGGAGAUAAGCGGAGGGCGACGGGCCUCGGAGGAGUCGGCGCGCAACAGACCGGUCCGGCGCACAGCUGAGCGUAUACAGUCGAGCUUCUUGGACUUCAUCUCAAAUGAAAUAAGCCGCAGUGAUGCUUGAGCGAUGGUACGGAGCUUUUGGACACGUCCGGAUUUAUCGACCGGAUAUCCUACCGAGAUUACGACGCUUUGGUGUACACCUGAGAGCCGGGCCACUUUUUCCAGAUUGGCUUGUGGGCAAAAGCGAGUAAUUGAAAAUCCCCCCUUGAGAGGCUCUCUGUUGUGAUUUGUUGUCGAGGAGGAGGAGGCCCCCUUUUUUUUUUUUUGUUUUUUUUUUUGUAAAGACCAAUUUCAUAAGCC
Salarias fasciatus (jewelled blenny) is the source of this 879-nucleotide long non-coding RNA. RefSeq lists it as uncharacterized. The transcript has 3 exons. The record is from RefSeq and is a predicted model, not a curated record. Lineage: Eukaryota; Metazoa; Chordata; Actinopteri; Blenniiformes; Blenniidae.